AGCAUGCUCUUUUGGCAUAUCAUUCUGCAGUGAUGCUGUGCCAGAUGCUGCAGUUCCCUCGUUGGUGUCUCCAGAAAUCUCUAGCCUUGCUGUUUCUCUUUUAUAUCACUGGACCAGACUGUCUGUUUCAAGUGUGUGAUAGAAGACUGGGAGAAAGAUGUCUAUGAAGGCACAGCAGAAGUGUAGCAGUCUGAAGCAGAGACAAAAACAAGAAUGGACAAUCUGCUGGAAAUAUGUUUAUAUACACAGCUAACAGUAGUGAACAGCAAAAGCCAGUCCUCAGAUCCAAUGAAUAGCUGCAUGUUUCUAAGCCUGGGAAUGCCAGGCAAAAAAGGCUUCUUCUGCUCACCAUUGCUGAACAUGGAUCUGUAAGUGAUUUCAUGUAUAUGCUUUCAAAUUAGCAUAAAAAAUGGCAGGAGACUGUGACAUGAAUAAACAUAAUGCUGCAUUUUACUGCUGGCCUUUGAGCCAAACAAAAUCACUACAUGCUCAAGUUUUGCUAAGGGAAGGUCUAUAACAUCACAGAUGCUGAAUAUAAGCAUAUAUAACUGUUGGGUAUUUUUUGCCCCUAAUUAAUAGUUAUUUGUACGUAAUCAGAUCCUAGAUACAUUUUGAAGACUCCAGAAGAUACAUUUUAAUAUGAACUCUCAGUUUCAUUACCUGAAAGGGGAGCAUUUAUUUGUGGGUGUGGGACCAAGCACAGUGAUGCAAAUGAACUGUGUUAUUGCAGAAACACUAACUACUGCUAAAACCUCUAAGUGAAGACUGAAUUUCAGGGAAUGAUUUAGUGAGAUAAAUACCAAUAAGCUACAAAAUUACAACCCAUUCCUCUGAGAUUCUGUGCACCAACAGUUAGUCUUAAGUGAUUUAAUCAUGACUAAUUACGUAUUAUCACUCCUAAUCUUUAACAUUUCAAUCGGUCUUAAGUUGUGCUGUUUAUUCAUAAUUUGUCAUCUUAAUUUCAUUAAAAUUGACAUAGUGAGGGCA
This is a long non-coding RNA of Pogoniulus pusillus (Red-fronted tinkerbird), 987 nucleotides long. RefSeq lists it as uncharacterized. The record is from RefSeq and is a predicted model, not a curated record. The transcript is spliced from 2 exons. Lineage: Eukaryota; Metazoa; Chordata; Aves; Piciformes; Lybiidae.